This 201-nucleotide unclassified non-coding RNA is filed under the name Hevea brasiliensis (rubber tree). The record is from RNAcentral. Lineage: Eukaryota; Viridiplantae; Streptophyta; Magnoliopsida; Malpighiales; Euphorbiaceae.
UUGGAAAUUUCGUAGAUCUACAUAUAAAUAUAUAUUGGCUCUUGAAGGUGCUUAUAGUAUAUUUUAAUAUCUUGUCAACUUUGAUAAUUUUCCUUCGAGAUUGCUACCAAUUUAGCAUCAUGUUCUAUAACUUUCUGCUUCUUUCCCUUUUUCUUUUUCUCUUGUUGUUUUUGUUCAAGGGAGAGGGCUGUUAAUUUUGUG